This is a long non-coding RNA of Gallus gallus (chicken), 3727 nucleotides long. RefSeq lists it as uncharacterized. The transcript has 3 exons. The record is from RefSeq and is a predicted model, not a curated record. Lineage: Eukaryota; Metazoa; Chordata; Aves; Galliformes; Phasianidae.
ACAGCACAGUGUGCUUUGUUAUAUCUGCAUCGGCGAAGCAGAUAAUCUCAGCCUCUCUUCAUCUGGAAAAGGUGCAGAGGAAGAGCGCUAGGAGACAGUGUUGUAGUUAGGGAUUAUUGUGGAGUUCUCAGGGUACAAGACAACAGUCAGGACAACUGCCCCUCCUCGUCAUCCCAGCCUGUCCUUCUCAAAGACCCCGUACAGAGCCACUGCAGCACUCUAGUUGUGUGAGUGUGAUUUGCCCAUUACUUUGAGAUUUCUAAAAAUCCAGGCUCCAUCCACUGAAGAAUUCAAAGGAUCACUGAUGGAGGAAUGAUGGCAGUAGAAUCACCUGCAUGCAUCAGCUGCGUGGAAACACCCAAGUGUGUACAGGGAUAUCAAACCAAGUCCUAUGCACGUUCGAGGUAAUACAUGAGCAGGAUCUGCUCCCAGUCCUGAACCUCUUUGAACGGUGACCAUACAAUUUUUUUUCACCUAAGCUCUGGGAGAAGAUCCCUGCUCAGCCAAGUUGGCUUUCUGCCCCACCUGCAUGACUUUGGACGUUAUGGAAUUGCUUGGUAAGAAGUGGUACUUUAAAAGUGACCAGCACUGGUGGACUCCAAUGCCUUCAGAAGCAGUUUUCCUAGGGAACUUACCAAAUAGUUCCCCGAGCAGCAUGAAGUCUGAUUUCCCCAUAUCCAAUGUUACUGUGGCUCUUUUUCUCCUAUCACCAAGGACUAUAUGUUCACCAAUCUCAUGGUCACUAUAGCCAAGACAGCCUCCACGCACCAUUUCACCCACGAGACCUUCUCUGCUUACAAGCAACAAAUCUAUGAGGCACCUUUCCUAGUUGACUCCCUUGGUAUCUGUAGCAAGAAGUACUACCAAAGACAUAAAAAUAUUUGUCUCUCUGGAAGAUCUCAGUCUUAUCCAUGAAAUCUCCCUCUUUUUUCUACUGGUCUGAAGCACACACUGAUAUUGAACAUUUCAGGAACUCCUCCAACCUUUGUGAAACAGUUGAAUUUACUAUGUGCAGAUUAUAAAUGACAUCAAUUUUGAAGGGUCAAGGUAUGAAAUAUGAUGUUGUUGCAAUACAUUUACUGUACCCACUAACUCUCACCAUCUGUACAUCACAGACAUCACUGAACUAGCACAUUUUCUCUGAAAAAAAAGAAGAAAGAUCUUCAAAAUACAGUAUUUUCUCAGAAUCUUGCAAGCUUUAGAAGUUUAUUCUCUUUCCAAGGAACAGUUACAAAAGAGGUAAGAUUUAAGGCCACAUCAGAGCUGGGUAAAUAACUUUUUGUGUAUAUGAACUCUGAGGGCACUGAAACUUGGGAACUUGGGGUAAUAUCCACUCAUAAAUUCAACCAGAAACAGAGAGUGGUGCAAAUAUAAAAAGCCACAAUAUUUAAGUUCCGUGUUGUCAUUUUCAAUGAAAUUACUUAAUUUGAAAGCACUGGAUAUUUUGCUACGAUAUCUUUUAAACAAAACAUUUGAAAUCAUGUUUUUAAAUACCACUCUUAACUACUGCUUGUUUAUCGUAAUAAAUUAAUCAAAACGUCUUUGAAAGGUUCCAAUAUGUACUUCCCCAAAUCCUCGGACUGUAUUUUUUCUCCUCUAAACAAAAAUCAUUGUUCUUCAGAUGACUUUCUCAUGGUGUGUAAUAUGCCGGGCUGCUGCUUGCACUACAGUUGGAUUUACUUUUUAGAACAUUUUCUGAAAUAUGCUUUAAAGAUAAUUCAUUUGACCUAAAUAUUAUCUAAAUCCCUGAGCCUGUUGCCUCCUAUUGGCCAGCCCAAGGCCCUCAGAGACAUCAAAAUCUUAACUGGAGAUUAACUUGUUUGAAGGUGGUCCUAGAUUUAUUGCAAUUCAUUACAUUGACCUAUAGAGUAUAUAUAGCAACUAAUACAGUACUUGACAUAUGUUUUUUUCUUGAUUGUUCGUACGGUUCAUUUGCACCUUUGCUAAGUGAAUAGGAAUAUUUAGAAGAAUAUUUUCUGAGACUGUUUAUUGAACCAUGAUUCUGGGGAAUUUUAUAUCAUGAGAACACAUUUCUCACGUCAUACUGAGAGGCAUGACAAUGAUGCUAUUAUAAAGAGGAAUGGAACAUAUCCAAGUUAUAUAUUCAGCAAAUACUACAGAAUGUCUGUUUGGUUUGUUUUGUUUUGUUUUUGUGGUGUUGUGUUGUGCUUGUUUGCAAGCUUGGACAUACCAGUAGCUCUGUGAGAACUUACGUUUCCUUCUAUCAGAGAGUGACUUCUUGCUUUAUGACUUCUUGCAAGCUAAGAGAUAGUAAAGUGCAGCCUCUGUGCCAACUGCACCACUUUUCUUCCACAACAUCCAGAGAAGACAUGCCUGUACUACCACAGGCUGCCAUGAGUCAAGUUUUAGUUGCUGUAGUUCCUCUAGCUAACAUGUAUAAUAUGUUCUCACAAUGUAAUUACCAAGCUCUGUCUUGCUAAGGUAGAGAAAUGUCAGUGUUUUUUGUGUAGCGUUGGAAAGAUCUGGGAAGAGAUAUUCUUCUUCCUGCUGAGCUUCUACAUAAAAAAAAAAAACAUCACCACACUGUAAUUCAGGGUGAUGCAAUAUAAUGUGCCAUAACUUCACCAAAAUGUUAGUCAAGGAAGUAACCUCAAAGUGACGUAAUUCACUUUCGGAUAUUUAUUUCAGUGUAUAAUUUCUGUUCUUAUUUGUAGAAAUGAAUAUGAGCCCAUAUCUCACUUCAGGUAUCCAAGAUGACAUGUUCCUUAACAUUCCUUCCAAGCCCAUAGCCAGUGAUCCUCACACAAAGACUGACCCAUAAAUAAACCAUUUUUUAUUUCCAUCCCUUCUUUCAGCUUCUGCAAAGUAAGGAAAGUAGAAGAAGUACUAUCCACCAAAUUCUGAAGGACAGAACAGUCCAGUAUCAAGGUCAGGAGCAAUUUCUAUAGUUGAUGAAAGCACGUAAGAAACAAUUUUCCUCCAGUCCCAGAAUUCACAUAUCUGCAUAUUUGUAUCUUGCACAUAUGCAAGAAAAAUCCCUUUGACUUUUACAAGUUUUGCUUGAAUAAAAGUGAAGAAACAAAUAUUUGUCCUCUCAGACUUAUCUGCUCCAUUUUUGCUACAUGCCCUGAGAACACAUGGCAAACCAUUAUAAAGAGAAAAUAACUAUCUUCCCAUAGUACAAAAUGAUGCACUUAGGUGGUGGGAUUUGGCACACGGGAAUUUCAACCCGAUGUAUCUCAUCUCCUCUCUGACAGAGGCCUCAUCACAGCAGCACCACUCUCACUGCUUGCAGAAAUUCUCCAAAAUGCAUCAGUAUGGUGUUUAUCCUCACAGAGUGCUUAGGAUGGAGACACAUGAAUGGCUUACAUGAGGCAGGUGUCCUCGGUACAGAGAGACAUGGACUUGUUGGAUCCUGUCCUGAGGAGGGCCACAGAAACAAUCCAAGGGGUGGAAUAUCUCUCCUAUGAGGACAAGCUGGGUGAGCUGGGGCUGUUCAGCUUGGAGAAGAGAAGGCUCCAGGGGGAGCUGAGAGUGGCCCUUCAAGUAUCUAAAGGGGGGCUAUAAGAAGAAAGGGGGCAGACUCUUUAGCAGGAUCUGUUGCGAUAGAACAAGAGGAAGUGUCUUCUAACUAAAAGAGGGGCUAUUUAGACUGGAUAUAAGGAAAAGGUUUUUUGCAAUAAGGGUGGUGAGGCACUGGCACAGGUUGCCCCAAAAGGUGGUGGAUGCCCCUCUCCGUGGGAUAGUCAAGGUCAGGCUGGACUGG